This is a long non-coding RNA of Mobula hypostoma (lesser devil ray), 784 nucleotides long. RefSeq lists it as uncharacterized. The record is from RefSeq and is a predicted model, not a curated record. The transcript has 3 exons. Lineage: Eukaryota; Metazoa; Chordata; Chondrichthyes; Myliobatiformes; Myliobatidae.
UUGAACUGGAACAAAGUAAAACAGCAAAAGAAUACAGAGUACAGUGUUGCAGUUGCAGAGAAAAUGUAGUGCAGCUAUCACCUGAAAAACAGCAUUCGGCUGGACUCAAGUGCAGAGGAAAGGCAGGCAUGGGGGUCCCCAGCACCGAACUCAACCCAGGAGCAGAAGAUGGCAGGCUUACAGCUUGACCCAGGAGCAGAGGAUGGCAGAUUCCCUGUGAAGGCACAGAAACAAGAGGUUAGACAUUCCACCAGCACCUCAGGGGAAUGACAACACAAAACAAUUCAUUCUCUCCAACACAACAACUCCACUAAGGCACUUCUUCUAUUUCCGGCUGAUUAGACACAUCUAGGCAUAUUACAGCCCUCCGCAGGAUGUAUAAUUAAUUACGGAACUUCAAGGAACUCAAAUUUUCGAAUACAACCUAGUCUCAAGUAUAAGUCUAUCUCAUGAUAGACUCUUCAAUCAGAUGUUGAUUCUCUUGCACUUAGGCACUAAGCGAGACUCCUCUUUAAAUAAUCAUAUAGGGCAGGAAACAUGUGCCAGUCACAAUUAACUUGACAAGAUUAAACCAAAAACACAAGGGCUUAACGGCUCUAGUUAAGAUAACGAUUAGUAAAUACAGGUGCUCAAGAACCCAGAAGCUCAGAAGGCUGACAGAUGGGUCGGCUGUCUGCACAGCAGAACUUAUAGCCAUUAUUAUUAGUUUGCAAUGGGUUGAACAAGAAAAGGCAUAUAGAGUCAUGAUCUGCUCAGGUUCUGCCUGGGAAUUGCAGAGUUUGGA